RNAcentral lists this ribosomal RNA (257 nucleotides) under uncultured bacterium. RNAcentral describes it as "partial 16S ribosomal RNA". It matches the Rfam family "Bacterial small subunit ribosomal RNA", at positions 57 to 305 of the family's 1533-position model. The record is from RNAcentral.
GCAAGUUGAGCGAAGCUUUUUGGUAGUUUACUACUAGAAAUGACUGAGCGGCGAACGGGUGAGUAACGCGUGAGCAAUCUACCUUAGUUACUGGGAUAGCCCGAGGAAACUCGGAUUAAUACCGGAUAUUCUUAUUUUUUCACAUGAAGUUUUAAGGAAAGGUCAGCCGAACUAAGAUGAGCUCGCGUUCUAUCAGCUAGUUGGUGGAGUAAAAGCCCACCAAGGCGACGAUCAGUAGCUGGUCUGAGAGGACGAUC